AUUGAACGCUGGCGGCAGGCCUAAUACAUGCAAGUCGAGCGGAUGAAGGGAGCUUGCUCCUGGAUUCAGUGGCGGACGGGUGAGUAAUGCCUAGGAGUCUGCCUGGCAGUGGGGGAUAACGUCCGGUAACGGGCGCUAAUACCGUACAUGUCCUGAGCGUGAACGUGGUGGAUCUUCGGACCUCACGCUAUCUGAUGACCCUAGGUCGCAUUAGCUAGUUGGUAAGGUAAAGGCCUACCAAGGCGACGAUCCGUAACUGAUCUGAGAGGAUGAUCGGCCACACUGGAACUGAGACACGGUCCAGACUCCUACGGGAGGCAGCAGUGGGGAAUCUUCGGCAAUGGGCGAAAGCCUGACGGAGCAACGCCGCGUGAGUGAUGAAGGUCUUCGGAUCGUAAAACACUGUUAUUAGGGAAGAACAGAUGUGUAAGUAAAUCUGCACGUCUUGACGGUACCUAAUCAGAAAGCCACGGCUAACUACGUG
RNAcentral lists this ribosomal RNA (484 nucleotides) under uncultured bacterium. RNAcentral's name for it is "partial 16S ribosomal RNA". It matches the Rfam family "Bacterial small subunit ribosomal RNA", at positions 30 to 507 of the family's 1533-position model. The record is from RNAcentral.